RNAcentral lists this long non-coding RNA (3447 nucleotides) under Sus scrofa (pig). RNAcentral describes it as "lncRNA (ENSSSCG00060036304.1)". The record is from RNAcentral. Lineage: Eukaryota; Metazoa; Chordata; Mammalia; Artiodactyla; Suidae.
AUGACAAAUGUCAGUAGCGGAGGACAAGAUAUGGGUGUUGUUCCCAGAUAUGAAGGGGAGAUGACACCAACACAGAGAAAUAGUUGCAACAUGGCAGAGAAGCCCUGCUCCUUGUGUUCAUUCAAGACUCAAGUUCUCUCAAAGUCCUUUUUUCUGACAAUGCCAAGGGCACUGUCAUCACCUGCAAGGUCUAUGCUGGAUUCCACUUUGCGGGGAUGGAUUUCCACCUUGCUGUUGGCAAGGGGAGUAAGCAAGCUCAAGCUCAAGACCUCACAGAUCACUUCUCUUCAAUUCCAUCAGCGAGAACUUGGUAUGUGGCUAUUCUUAACCACAAGAGAGCCAGGGAAAUGCAAUCUAGCUGGGCAGUUAUGUGUCCAAAUGAAGGACAGAAUGUAUUUUUCACAGACAACCAGCAGUCUUGCCAUCAAGUCCUUGUUAUUUUCCUUUUCUUUUCUUUUUUUUGGGGGGGGUCACACCUAUGGCAUAUGGAAGUUCCCCAGCUACAGGGUCAAGUCAGAGUUUCAGCUGCCGGGCUAUGCCACAGCCACAGCAACUCGAGAUCUGAGCCUCGUCUGUGACCUACACCACAGCAACGCCAGAUCCUUAACCCACUGAGUGAGGCCAGGGAUUGAACCUGCAUCCUAACAGAUACUAGCCGGAUUCGUUUCUGCUACGCCACAAUGAGAACUCCCCAAGUUCUUGUUAAGAACAUGAAAUAAACAAUUGGAGUGUCAAAUAUUGUCUGUGACUAAAAAACAUUGUAACAGAAGUUCAGCUGUCAUUAAGUUCUUAGAUAAGAAAAAUUUUAUGAUUUAUUAAGAUUAGAACUUUAUACUCAAUUUGUUCACUUUAUGUUCAUAUACAUGCUCAUAAAUAUAUCUUGAUUAGAUUCUUAGGACGCUGUUGUACUCCACAUAUGGUAAAUAUGGAAAAUGAUUUGAGAAACUGUAGCAAUGGGUGCCAUACGAGGCAUUUAAGUCUGGAACUUGGGAUACUUGGGAUUUCGGGCCAGCACUCCCAUUAUCUGUAUGACUUUGUCCAACACAUUUAAUCUGUCUGGAUCUCAUUCCCUAAGUUUUUAAAGUUUUAACAGUACAGUCUGUCCUAUUACUUCCACCUUCCAAAUAUAGCUUAAACCCAUCUACUUUCCUAUUGCUACCAUCCUAGUCCUCUCUUCAUCCCCCAUCUACAGUUCCCAUCCCUUUUCAUUCUCCAGCUCCGUCUCAGGUGGUUUUUCUCAGACGAAUCCCCAUUGAUGUUUUUUCAGUUCCUAGACCACGUUGAGCUCUUCUUGCACAAAACCUCUUUAUUCAUUGGUCCCUUUGACUGUAUCUCCCUAUCUUUUGCAUAAUCGUAUCCUUUUUACCCUUUGGGGCUCGUCUUUGAUAUCACCUCUUUAGAGAUACUUCCCUGAUCAUCCUCUCUAAAGCAGAUUUCUUCCAGCAUUUUCUAUCUCAACUACAGUUAAUUUUCUUCAGUUAUAUUUGGUAAUUGUCUUUUUGUUUUUUUGGCUGUACCUGAAACAUGUGGAUUUUCCUGGGCCAGAGGUCAAACUUGUGCCACAGCAGUGACCCUAGUCACUGCAGGGAUAAUGCCAGAUCCCUAACCCAAUGCACCACAAAAGAACUUCAGUAAUUAUCUUUUUUCUUUACUCUUUUUGUUUUUGUUUCUUUCAUUUUACCAUUAGCUUUCACUGAACUACUAACUCUGUUAAGGGAAGAGGAAAGAUCUGUAUUAUUCAUUCUUUUAACUAUAUCACCUACUACAAUGUCCCCAUACCUAGUAGGUAUUCAAUAAAUAUUUGUCAAAUAAAGUAAUACAGGGCUUUACAAAUGUAUGAUCCAAUGAAUUAAAACAUAAUUUAAUAUCAUUAAAAUUUUUUAAAUUAUGCUAUAAGUUUUAUGGAAAAGAUACUUAAAAGCAUAUGUAAAUGGCUCUAUUUUGAGAUGAAAAUCAUUUCAUAAUAUGAAUUACUUUAAAAAUUGUUCUAUUCUGUUAUUUAUUUAUUAUUCUAUUUAUCUUUAAAUAGUCUGGUAUUUGAAUACUUUCUCAAUCCAGUCAAGAUGGGAGAUUUUGAGGAGGGAAUUCAUUAUUCUGAGGGCUUCAUUUUGUUUUGUAUAAUUUUAAUCAUGACAGUCUUUAUCAAAUCCAUGUUUAUUUAAAUAUUUAUUUCCUUUUGCAUAUGUUGGGAUUGAAUAUGUUGUUUUAAUUAGCGGCAUAGCUUUUUUGUUGCUUUGGCAUUUGACCAAAAGCAAAACAGAAUCAACGCAGUAUAAUCUAUGGUAAGAGAACUGAAUCUCAUUGCACAAUCGUGUCUCAUCAGCUAUAGGCUAAGCGAUGGCCUAUUCAGCAAUGUAUGCCAGGGAUAGCAGCUACAAUUACAUCAUGCUCCAUAAUAGACAGAGUUGCCAUUUUUGGUUUUCAGAAGAAACUUCUUUGUUUGAUCUUGGAUAGGUCCACAACUGGAUGACAGUAAAAUAAAAUAAAGUUAGAGGGAAAAAUUAACUAUCAAAAGAACACAUUGAUAAGCUCUCUUUCAGGUGGUGUUUUCUAAGUGGAAAAUUAAACUUAGACUCUGUAAUGAGAAUUCAUCACAUAAAGGUACAGAGAGAAUAAUGUGAAUCACGCAGUUGCUGUGUAAGAAGAACAGCAAAUGCCUUUUCAAGAGAGCUGGCUUGUAAUGGUUCACAUAUAUCAGUGCUAAUUUCACCAUGGUAAAUUAUCAUUAGACUUUAUUUAUUAACUUGCUAUUUCACAGUUACAUGCUGAUUUUCCUUCAAUAAACUCCAUACAUAUUGAAUUGUCUUUAUGCUCAAGACGUAAUGGGAAUUUUUUUCAAAUGGGUAAUAAUUUCAGUUGUAUUAUUUACGAAAGAUAGGAAUAUUAUCUGUAGUCUUUUUAGGAAGAAAAUCCUAAAUCUGUAAUGUAAAUAAUGUCUUUAAAGCCAACUCUAUCUCAAAAAACUGUUUGCCUCUUUUUAAAGCAGGGCCAUUGAAAGCUGAAAGGCGAGAGGAAGAAGGAAAAGCUAUCUCCCCAGGGCUCAAAUGCAACUCAACCUUGACCCAGCGAUGAGUUUCUGUUGGUUAGACUUGUAGGAAAAUAUAUCCAUAUAAAAGGGCAAACAGUACACUAGAACCUCAUCAUCAUACUGUUCUCUCUAGGUUUCAGUUGAGUACAAGGCAUGGCUUUGUAAAAGUUCCCGCUAAAACUGUAUCACAACGUCAUUUGGCGUAGGGUCCCACAGAUAUGAGAUGCCUCGGAAGCUAAGAAAGCUGCACCAGGGCCAUUCAUGGAUUUAUUCUAAACUUUAAAUUUUGGGGGUAGUUUUUAAUACCUACAUGCAUAUCCCUAAACAGUCUGUACACUCCAUGCAAAAUACCCUUACUCAAGAAAUUUCUUAAAAGCAGAUUAAUUAUUUAUUUUUUGUCUUUUCUAGGGCCACUCUGG